This 468-nucleotide ribosomal RNA is filed under the name uncultured Alteromonadaceae bacterium. RNAcentral describes it as "bacterial SSU rRNA". It matches the Rfam family "Bacterial small subunit ribosomal RNA", at positions 916 to 1381 of the family's 1533-position model. The record is from RNAcentral. Lineage: Bacteria; Pseudomonadati; Pseudomonadota; Gammaproteobacteria; Alteromonadales; Alteromonadaceae.
GACGGGGCCCGCACAAGCAGUGGAGUAUGUGGUUUAAUUCGAAGCAACGCGAAGAACCUUACCAGGGCUUGACAUCCCUUGAAGCAGCUAGAGAUAGCUGUGUCCUUCGGGACAAGGAGACAGGUGGUGCAUGGUUGUCGUCAGCUCGUGUCGUGAGAUGUUGGGUUAAGUCCCGCAACGAGCGCAACCCCUGUGGUUAGUUGCCAGCAAGUAGCGUUGGGCACUCUAGCCAGACUGCCGGUGAUAAAUCGGAGGAAGGUGGGGACGACGUCAAAUCGUCAUGCCCUUUAUGGGCAGGGCUACACACGUGCUACAAUGGCCAGUACAGAAGGUUGCCAACCCGCGAGGGGGAGCUAAUCCUGAAAAGCUGGUCGUAGUCCGGAUCGCAGUCUGCAACUCGACUGCGUGAAGUUGGAAUCGCUAGUAAUCGCGAAUCAGCAUGUCGCGGUGAAUACGUUCCCGGGCCUU